CUCACUUGAAUCUGUGGGUAAACAUGGUUUUUCGUUGGAGGUCGGACCUCAACCCACCGGAGUGGUCAGAGCAGACGUUUACAACAUGGUGACGGAAACGCUGGAUCUCAUCAUGGAUUGGCUUGAGAAAUUUAAUUCUGUCACCUCGUUGAUGGGAAUCUGCAAAGAUUAAACAACCAAAAGUGGAAAGCGCUGAGGCUGUUGUCAAUCUAACAGGAAGUACGUUCGAGGGUGGUGAAGUAGAGGCCUACUGUCAAACAGGCGUCCUCGACUACCCAAGAGAUCCCACCACCGACGAGAUCAUCGCUGCUAUUCAUCCCCAGCUACAGGACAACGACUUCAAGCUUCUCCGUGCCGGGGAUCCCAUUUUCCAGUCGUUCAAUGGCGAGACGGUUAAGUACGAGGGCGAGGAGGCCUACCCGUUCUUUGUGAACGAAUGCGCCUACUACGAGAAGAGGAUCGCCUUUCAAUUAGCUCGCAAGAUUAGUAUUUGCCUCCCGUCCGUCUGUGUGAAAAAGGACUGACUGAUUGUUAUUACGA
This is a long non-coding RNA of Syngnathus acus (greater pipefish), 540 nucleotides long. RefSeq lists it as uncharacterized. The transcript has 4 exons. Lineage: Eukaryota; Metazoa; Chordata; Actinopteri; Syngnathiformes; Syngnathidae. The record is from RefSeq and is a predicted model, not a curated record.